RNAcentral lists this ribosomal RNA (467 nucleotides) under uncultured bacterium. Its description in RNAcentral is "partial 16S ribosomal RNA". It matches the Rfam family "Bacterial small subunit ribosomal RNA", at positions 28 to 506 of the family's 1533-position model. The record is from RNAcentral.
GACGAACGCUGGCGGCGUGCUUAACACAUGCAAGUCGAACGGAAAGGCCCUGCUUUUGUGGGGUGCUCGAGUGGCGAACGGGUGAGUAACACGUGAGUAACCUGCCCUUGACUUUGGGAUAACUUCAGGAAACUGGGGCUAAUACCGGAUAGGAGCUCCUGCUGCAUGGUGGGGGUUGGAAAGUUUCGGCGGUUGGGGAUGGACUCGCGGCUUAUCAGCUUGUUGGUGGGGUAGUGGCUUACCAAGGCUUUGACGGGUAGCCGGCCUGAGAGGGUGACCGGCCACAUGGGGACUGAGAGACGGCCCAGACUCCUACGGGAGGAAGCAGGGGGGAAUAUGGCACAAGGGGCGGAAGCAUGAUGCAGCAACGCCGCGUGCGGGAGGACGGCCUUCGGGUUGUAAACCGCUUUCGCCUGUGACGAAGCGUGAGUGACGGGAAUGGGUAAAGAAGCACCGGCGAACUACGG